CGCCCGCAAUCUCCGCUCUUCACCCUCCGACCUCUGCCUCCGCUUCCACGGCCUCCCACCAUUACGACUCAUGAUUCUACUCUGAAUUCUCCAAUUAAUAUACUAAUUAUCCAACCCAUUGGCCAAAAUAUGUUUUUGUGAAAUUGCACCAUUUUUUUCUGCGCGUUCGUACUUUUUCCACUCGCGUGGUGAGCCCCCGAAAAGCUGCCCGGAACAAGCCCAGAGGAACACACCAAGUUACCACGCCCGUUACCCCUCCGAAUGAAUCUUGGUAGAGCGCUGGGGUGAAAAUAUCUCGCACUAGGCCCCGCUGGAGGGGCCUAGCGUUUCUGAUUCUUCUCGCUUGCUUCAAUUCCAGGUGUAAAUCCUCUCCGUGCAGAGAGAAGCAAGACCAAACGGUUACAUACUACAAUGGCCAACUCUCCCAGUAUGGCUACGGCUAU
RNAcentral lists this small RNA (443 nucleotides) under Histoplasma ohiense. RNAcentral's name for it is "hypothetical lncRNA". Lineage: Eukaryota; Fungi; Ascomycota; Eurotiomycetes; Onygenales; Ajellomycetaceae. The record is from RNAcentral.